RNAcentral lists this ribosomal RNA (512 nucleotides) under Babesia venatorum (nom. ined.). RNAcentral's name for it is "SSU rRNA". It matches the Rfam family "Eukaryotic small subunit ribosomal RNA", at positions 537 to 1099 of the family's 1831-position model. Lineage: Eukaryota; Apicomplexa; Aconoidasida; Piroplasmida; Babesiidae. The record is from RNAcentral.
CAGAGUAACAAUUGGAGGGCAAGUCUGGUGCCAGCAGCCGCGGUAAUUCCAGCUCCAAUAGCGUAUAUUAAACUUGUUGCAGUUAAAAAGCUCGUAGUUGAAUUUCUGCGUUAUCGAGUUAUUGACUCCUGUCUUUAAUCGAUUUCGCUUUUGGGAUUUAUCCCUUUUUACUUUGAGAAAAUUAGAGUGUUUCAAGCAGACUUUUGUCUUGAAUACUUCAGCAUGGAAUAAUAGAGUAGGACUUUGGUUCUAUUUUGUUGGUUUUUGAACCUUAGUAAUGGUUAAUAGGAACGGUUGGGGGCAUUCGUAUUUAACUGUCAGAGGUGAAAUUCUUAGAUUUGUUAAAGACGAACUACUGCGAAAGCAUUUGCCAAGGACGUUUCCAUUAAUCAAGAACGAAAGUUAGGGGAUCGAAGACGAUCAGAUACCGUCGUAGUCCUAACCAUAAACUAUGCCGACUAGGGAUUGGAGGUCGUCAUUUUUCCGACUCCUUCAGCACCUUGAGAGAAAUC